GACGAACGCUGGCGGCGUGCUUAACACAUGCAAGUCGAACGGAAAGGCCCUGCUUUUGUGGGAUGCUCGAGUGGCGAACGGGUGCGUAACACGUGAGUAACCUGCCCUUGACUUUGGGAUAACUUCAGGAACCUGGGGCUAAUACCGGAUAGGAGCUCCUGCUCCAUGGUGGGGGUUGGAAAGUUUCGGCGGUUGGGGAUGGACUCGCGGCUUAUCAGCUUGUUGGUGGAGUAGUGGCUUACCAAGGCUUUGACGGGUAGCCGGCCUGAGAGGGUGACCGGCAACAUUGGGACUGAGAUACGGCCCAGACUCCUACGGGAGGCAGCAGUGGGGAAUAUUGCACAAUGGGCGGAAGCCUGAUGCAGCAACGCCGCGUGCGGGAUGACGGCCUUCGGGUUGUAAACCGCUUUCGCCUGUGACGAAGCGUGAGUGACGGUAAUGGGUAAAGAAGCACCGGCUAACUACGUG
Molecule: ribosomal RNA, 468 nt
Filed under: uncultured bacterium
Lineage: Bacteria
Description: partial 16S ribosomal RNA
Rfam family: Bacterial small subunit ribosomal RNA
Source: RNAcentral